Molecule: non-coding RNA, 1279 nt
Organism: Paramisgurnus dabryanus
Lineage: Eukaryota; Metazoa; Chordata; Actinopteri; Cypriniformes; Cobitidae
Source: RefSeq, a predicted model, not a curated record
GUUACAUCUCUCUCACCUGGAACUAAAUAUAACUUUACUCUCUACUCUGUGUUUUACGGCAUGAAAAGCCGUGGAUAUAACAUCUCUGCUGAGACCACUCCGGCAAAAGUCACUUGCCUUCACUGUGAAUAUUCUUGGUUGGGAAGUGUUGUAACUCUGGUUUGGGAUGCACCGCAUGGAUUGUGGUCUGAAUUUGAGGUCCAGGUGAAUGAAGGAAAUCCAAAACAUGUAAAUAUCACAAGAUAUCAGAUUGAUGAUGUGCUGUCAUCUGUGCAAUAUGAGAUCAGUGUUACAUCACUCUCUGAAAAAUUAAGAAGUGACCCAGUGUCAGUCGUGUGUCAAACCAAUGCAUCAGGUAAUUUUCAUGCUGUAGUAGACUCUUAAAAAAAGGUUAUAAAGAUCUGUUUAUCAUUUAGUAAAUGUCUUACAUAUUUUUGAUGCCAGAAACUUACAUUAGCUGUAUGUGACCCUGCUGUGAAAUCCCGGUUAAAGUCUCAUAAAUUAAUAAGGAGAUUUGAAGCAUCCAAGUUUGAUUUUGAUCAUUCAUUUCAGUCUUUGAAAUGACCUUAUUAAAGAUAUCAAGGCUAUAUUCACAGAAUGUUCUUUACAUUAUGUAGGAUGAUUUUAAAACAAUAAAUCACUAAAAAUGACUUUAGCUGGGUUUUUAACAGACGGCAUCACAUUUUCCCUUUAUUUUAUUUUCUCAAGGUGCAAUAGCAGGAUCCAUGUUUACUGUUUUCUUUGUAAUCCUUCUUGUUUCUGUUGGAGUUUUCUGUAUACACAAAAAAUUUGACCUCAGAAGAUGUUUUUUUGGAAAACCAGGAAAUGUAAAAAAGACUCCUAAUCUGCCAAUGGAUCUGAUCUAUGUAAACACAUCCACUCACAACACACAAGAAAAUCAGGAUUCAAGUGUGAAAUCCGAGAAUAAAGACAUCAGCGAGGAGAACCAUCCCUAUGAAGUCCUAAAUUUAAACAUAUAAAUGCUUAAACAUUUUUGAACCAACAUUGAAAAAAAUCUCUGGUUGCACAUGAUUGAAUCCAGUUUUCUUAAAAUGAAAUACAUUUUAAUUAAUGCUAAUUUCGUUUUAAGAAAACCUAAUUUAAUCAUGUGCAACCGAUGUCCAGAAGUUUUUUCAGUGCACUGAAAAAAAUCUCCAGUUGCAUAUAAUUGAAUUAAGUUUUCUUAAAAUGAAAUUAAAUAAAUGUUUAUGUCAUUUAAAAAAAACUAAUUAAAUCAUGUGCGACUUGUGUCCAGAAGUUUUUUUCAGUGAAUCUUUGU